This is a long non-coding RNA of Pseudopipra pipra, 12817 nucleotides long. RefSeq lists it as uncharacterized. The transcript is spliced from 5 exons. Lineage: Eukaryota; Metazoa; Chordata; Aves; Passeriformes; Pipridae. The record is from RefSeq and is a predicted model, not a curated record.
AACUAAGGAAGUGACCAAGGAAGUAUUCCACGCUGUUCCAUGAAGUAUAAAUAAGCCGGUCAGAGAGACCUCGCUCGCUCUUCUUCUGGCGAGGUUUGGGAAUGGUAGGACCCUGCAUUGGCCUUGCUGAUCCGGAGCUGAGACCUGCGGCGACUGCUGUGUCUGCCGCGCGUGAGGAGAGAGUGCUGGGCCGCGUCCGGCCGUCCUGGUUUUCUCAAGGGAAGUGGGGAGAUUUUGCUAAUUCUUUAUUUUGUCGGUUACUGGGUUUUUCGAUUGUGCAUACCUGUUUUGGUUUUGUCCAUUUUUGUCCCUUUUUGCCCCUUUUUGUCCCUUUUCGCUGCCCCUCUUUCCCUUUUGGGAGUGAUUUGGGGUUCCUGUGUUCAUAUGUACAUAGUACCUUAAUUGUAUAUAUGUGAUAUAUGUAGAAUAUAUAUAUAUAUAUUAUAUAGCUUUUGCUAUUCCGUUUUUUUUUUCUUCUCUCUCUUCUGGGAGCUUUUCUUCUGUGGUCUGUGGGGUUUGGCGGGAAGCCAACUACAACCGGCUCCAUACUCACCCUCACAGAAACUGCAUUCACCUCCCUUUUGUGCAGGUGAUCGUGUCGUGCAUCGUGUUUGUCUGCUCUCCUGGAGCAGGUACAGGCUCAGACACACAUAGACACCAGACUGCAUCACAUCAGAUGCAGGUGUUCAUCCUGACUCAUUUUGGCAACGAUCCCAUGCACGGAUAUGUGGUAAGAUUGAUUUCAGAUGAAUGGGGUUUGGGAGGUGCUAAAAGAUGGAUCCUGGCUUGUGUGGUGGUUGGAAAGAGUUUGGUCAUUCCACAGAAGUACAUUGCUGAACUGGGCUUCUAAAGUCCCCCUCAGAGCCAAAGAAGAAGUCAGAGAGCAGCAAGCUGAGAACACAGACUGCUUUGAUCUUGUGAUGUCAUGAAGGCUGCAGAGUGAAAAAAGGUUGUUCCCUUUUAGACUGGGUGUGGAAAUUACCAGAGGUGUGCUGUGCUGAAUUUAACACAAAGAGAGAAGUCUGGUAUUUGUAGCCCUUCACUCUUGAGGUUUUGUGGCACUGGUUUGAGUUUGAUUUAAAAUGCUUCACAAGGAGCUCAUCUUCUGGAGCAAACAAAACUGUGAAACAUGUAUUGAUUUAAUGGGGUGGGUUUGGUUUACUUUCUUUUCAUUAAGACAUGCGCUGCCUAUAGGGCUUAGUGGUUAUUUAUAUAUUAGUAAAUAAUAGGCUAUUUCUAAAUUAGUUAAUGACAUUUCUAAAUUCAUAUAUAUGUAAUAAUACUUACUUGUUUUUUGCCAUUUGCAGAGAAUAGGAAUUUAAGGUCUGCUUCCCAAGAUGUCAGAGCAAUUUCUACUGUUGAUGUAAACUCUGUAUGUAGAGAGGAAUUGUAGUCAAUAUUUUUCUGCUCCUUUUUUUUUAAGCAAAAAUUAAUUUUUCUAAAUAUUUUUUUUCUGGAAAAUACUGGAGCACAAAAUUAUCUUUGGAGCCUCAGCGUCCUGGAAAGACAGAUUUUUGACAGUACAUUGUGAAAAAAUAUCAUAAAGUGAAAUUCAUAUUGCACAAAACAAAAACACCCUCAAAAUGUUGUGAUAUUUUGUGGUUAAGAUGAACAAUCCUACAGUUGUCAUCAUGUCAGGAAUUGACUGCACGUGCCCUCUAAAUUCUCACUACUGAAGGAACAGUAACAAUGGCAAAUACAGUGCUCCCAGUUUUAGGGUGCACCCUUAUGUGCUGCAUAAUGCUGUAAGACACUUAAUGGUAGGCAAAUCUUGGGGGGGGGAACCUGCCUGGAGGAGGCUGAGAUAAGAAUUUCAAAACAUCUCUCGGAAUUCUGCAUUGCUUAUUUCUUUAAGUUGUUUGUAUGCACAGGGAGAGCUGGAAAAACAUGGCCAAAUAAUCUGAAUAAUUGCUGUGAAUAGAAAAACAUGCAGUGAGGAGAUAUAACGAGAGAUAGAUGGGACAUUAGUGUGUGAGUUGCAAAUGUUAUCCAAAGGUUAUCUUCAGUUACUGGUGCAGGCAGACAGUGAAAUGGGUGCUAAUGCAGGAGAAGAAAGGAAAAAAAUAUUCUCACUUCCUGAUUUUUCUGAGUUUCGCGUGUGUGCUUUGGGAAUUCAGACAACCUUCCCUGUGUCAGAGGUUUGACUGAUUGGGAGACAAGGCUGUUAAAAGAAAUUCAGAGUGGUGAGAUGGUGCUCUGCUGCAAGUACAGCAGAGGUCAGUAGUUGGUGAGUGCUGUGAACAUUUACAGACUUAACUUGAUGUUAGUUUCAUUGCCUUUUGGUGAAGGAAUGUGUUCUUAGGAUAUGAGAUAAUUACAUUUCUAGAUUUUCCUUCAUCAUCGUGGACCUUAGAAACUACUUUUUAAUGAAAACAUAAUUUCCUAAUGAUGUGAAUCUAGGAGCUGAAGUUUGAAAACUUUUUUGAGAGCUGGCACUAAAUUUGUGGCAAUCAUGACUACAGACUAUUAGCUGUGAUCACUUUUAGUGUGUGUGUUCAGCUCCUAUAAAGAGCAACCUCCCCUGUAAGAGAACAGCACAUAACUCAUAGUACAGUCUGACAGAGGUCUGUCUCCACAGCAGAUAGGAAAACUGGCUGGCAAUAAGGCAGUAGAAGAGGCCAGAAGAAAGACCAGAUAUCAACUGGUGUUCAGCAUAAUGGCAAAUCUUAAGGUGUUUUCUUUUCUUGUUAUUUUCUUCCAUCAAGGAAACCCAUCCUCUCCCAGCUGUGUGGCUACAGCAGGGGACUGAGGCCAUUGUAACAGAAGUGACAGAAAUGUGACUAAAAUUUCCUGGGACAUAUGAGCUUCACAGGGAGCUGUCAGCAGAUUGUUUGGAUGUUCUGGUCUCCUGACAACACUUCUACAGGGUUGUGGCUGCAUAUGCCUGUCUUCCCGUAUUCCCUAGGCAUUGCCUCUCCUGUGUUUUUUUCCACUAUGGGUUUUCAGCAGGAUUAAGUUUCCUCAGGAAGCAGCCCUUUCAGUUGAUUGCUUUAAGAUGGGUUGACAGCCAUAGUUUGGAGCAAAUGUUAAGUGCACUUUCAGCUCCCCCCGAAAUUGAGUUUGAUUUUCUUUGACCUAGGCACACAAACUCCUACAGUAAAUAUCCUGCUGUGAAGUUUAGAAGUAAGCGUAUUGUCUCAGCCUUAGCAAGUCUCAGGCUUGUUUCUUGCUUGCCAUAAAUUCUCCAUUUGCUGUCACUAGCAAAGGACUUCAUUUACCUCAGAUAAGGUGUCCUCAGCCUGUCUCUGGCAUUGUUUCUUCAGCAGAUCAGUGGAUUUACUGUAGUUGAUGCACCAGCUUCUAACCAAGUGUCAAUCACCAGUGCAGAGAACUUUUCUCAUGCCCUCUCUUCAGACUGCACUGAGCAGUGUGGUGGCUGUAGGUGGUGAACACCUCUCCAGCUCCCUCUUAAAGAGCCCUGUCACACACAGAGAGGUUAAAACACAUGGAUGAAAGGCAGGUUUCCCUUAUCUGCCUCUUUAUAAAGCUUACUAUUUCCUUUCCACAAGCACGUGGAACAAAGCAUUUAAUUUCAGAGCAAAUGGAAUGUCAAGUGAAAUGGUUUGGAGGGGGGAAUUUUGUUCUGCAGAGAAAAAAAGGUUGGUCCAUGACUGUUUGUAAUUUUUAUAUUCACUCUACUGUUUUGGUUCAGUGACUGAACCAGAAAACCAAUUGUUCAUACAGCACCUGUGUAGAAAGGAAAUACAGAUGCAACUAGAACCAUGUCACUGUAAUCUAAACUUGUGCAUUAGAGGUGGCACUGAAAACUUUGGAGGUAUGCAAACAUCUAAAUACUACUUUAAAAAGAGUGACAGAAAGAUGAGUGUUUGGGUAAUUGUCAUUUGUUCAUAGAUUAAUUGCAUAUGAAAGCAAGGCAGAAACUGUACAUUUUAAAAUGGGAAUUAUGACUUUUGAUCCUGAUAAUUUAAAUUAGUUUCACAGACUCUAUUAUGUGACUUGACUGUGAUCACAUGCGUGGCUUAGCCCACCCAAUAAAAGGUUAUUAGGCAUGGAAAUGAGGUGUUUCUGCAAAAUACUCUUAUUUAGGUCUCAGCCCAGAGACCAUGCUGGGAUCAGUACUCUCUGCUAUGUUUGGGGCCGGAAUAGGGACCCUGGCCAGGUAAAGGAUGAGGAUACUGAGGCAGCUGCUUAGCUGGACUAAUCCCAAAAAGGAUCUGCUGAAGACAUGUGGUUAAGGGUAAAACUAAGGCUGGGAUUGGCAUGGGGUCAUGGAUUAGGGAUAGAGCUGGAAAUGUCUGGAGUUUCUCAGGUACUGUUAGGAUGGGGCUGAUAGGAUUUAGUUUCCCAGACAGGGUCAGGAUUGGCCAUGUAUAGGUUUUUGCUGUUUGUUUCAUAAUGUUCUGCAAUUAUUACAAAGAAGCCAUAGUAUUCAUUUCUAAAAGCCUGGUAAGAGCAAAGUGAUUCAGCGUCGCAGCAACCCUGGAGAAGUGGGAUUCAAGAGUUACUCAUCCAGACAUCCCAGAUGCACAGGUCCCCUUUGAAUCAAUGACAAAUUGAUUUUGAAGCAUCUGUGGCUUCAUUGCAAGUGCACAGAUGUUUGGUUUGCCCUCUUUUACAGCCACUUUGUGACUAGUUCAGAAGCUCUUCUCUUCAGGCUGUUAGUGUAAUCUGUUGAGAAAGGAUCAUUCGGAAGGGACUUUGGAGCUGUGAUUCAUUUUCAGAAACAAGCUGAUUUCUGCCAACUGACAAUGGAAGUAGCCUGAGAGAAACCAUCCUCAGGGUGAGUGAACACUCCCAAGAGCAACAUUCUCUUGCUUUUUGCUGUAUUUCUUUUCCAUGAAUUCUCAUGAACAACUUUACCACUGAAGGAUAGAGCAGUCUCACUGGGUUUUGUGUCAGUGUACCCAGUUUUUAUAGUUUUGUUGAAUGUUUUGCUGCCAGGGAGCACUUCAGAUCUUGCUCAAAGGGGAAUUUGGUUUAAAUCAUAGUGACCCUCCUUGCACAUAAGUACUAGUGACCUCUGCUGGUCCCAACCACUGAUUCAGUCUUUCUGGAGCUGCCUGUAAGUGUUGGUCCCAAGUCUGCGCAGAUGCUGAGAUUUAUCCUUAACUUGAUCCCUUAAUGUUUACAUUAAACACCUUUAUCCAAGUGGCAGAUUGGCAGAGACCUUCUGAAAGUGUCACUGCCCAAAGUCCUUCUGACACACGUGUUGGUGCCCACUGUGUGCCUGUGGCUGCUGGCAGUGUCACAGACACUGGGUGUCCCUCUUGCGGGGGGGCUGAGAGUUCAGCAAAGCUUCCCUCUCUUCUCUUUCAGGAAAAGAAAAGUUGAGCAAAUAAUGGAGCAUAAAGAAGCUCAAGUCUUGUUUUUCUUAGCAUUUCCCAGCUUAAGUUAAGUACCCAAAGGUGAAGAGGGAUUUUUACAAGAGCAUAUGGUGACAGGACAAAGGGGAAUGGCUUCAAACUGAGACAGGGUAGGUUUAGAUUAAAUAUUAGGAAGAAAUUCUUCCCUUUGAGGGUGGUGAGGCCCUGGCACAGGUUGCCCAGGGAAGCUGUGGGUGCCCCAUUCCUGGAAGUGUUCAAAGCCAGGUUGGACAGGCCUGGUCUAGUGAGAGGUGUUGCUGCCCAAGGCAAGGAGUUGGAAAAAGAUGAUCUUUGAGGUCCCUUCCAACCCAAAUCAGUCUGUGAUUCUAUGGAAUCAGUUUUUUUCUGUGGAAAACAUAGCACUCUGCUGGUGUCACAGACAGGUGGGGUUUAGUCAAUGGCUUGUCGUGGAAGCAAUGCUGACGUCAGUUUUUCAUCUGAGUCUAGAAAUGCUUCUUUAAUUAAAUAUUCCAGGGCAAUUAUUGACAUCUUUAAAGGCAAAUUUUGCUUCUAAGACAUACUUAAUGCAGUAUAUGAUUCCCAAGUUUAGCAGAACUCACUGUAGGCAGGUCUUCCUUAAUUUACAAGCGUCAUGUUCUUUUAAAUGCCUCCACUACUGUCUGUCUACACUGGAAAAAAAACCCCAAAAUCUACCUCUUAAAAAUCGCACUUAAAUUUGCACUUAAAAAGUCCAAAAAAUGUUGGAAGAAUACUAUGCCAUUUAUAAUGCAUUGAAAGCCCUAUUAUUGAAAUAUUAAAGUAUUAAAUUGUAGAGCCUGUCUAAAAAAAUCACUAGGAGAGAUGCAUUAAUUCUGAGUAUUUAGAUGGGUCAGUGUAACUCUGGUUACAGUGGUGACUUCACUGUAAUCCUGUUACCAUCAGGAUGGUGACAGCAAUGCAGCUCCCACAUGAAAGAAAGCAGAAUUUCAGCAACUCCAAAACUCUGAGCCCUUGGGAAUUUUACCAGGCAUAGUGAGUUCAAAAGUCAGCAUCUGUUGUUGCUAAUUAUUCCAUAAUAAUCAGUAAAGCAAAUCCCACUUGGGAAGGAUCUUCCCCGUGCUUUUAGAAACUAACAACAGAAGACAGAGCCCUUGGAGCUGAGGUUCAGUGCUCAGUGAGGUGAUUAUGCAGUUAUGUUAGCAAGGAUUAGAAGGAGCAAGCCAGCUGCCUCUGCCACCCCUGAUAACACACAAAAAAAUGUAUUUUCUACUUGGUGUGAUUUUUCAAGACAAAAUGCAAAGUAUUAUCUAAUGCAUCAGUGAUUUACAGCUGAGCAAGUCUAUAUAGACUAAAUAGAUUAUCUUUUUUUUUUAAAUACCCAGCUUUCCCACAAAAUGUUUAACGCUUUACCACUUAAGCAGCCAACUAAUUAGAAUGAUUUCAGAUGGAUUUAAUUUCCACUUUGUCGACAAAAUUCCUGAAAUAAUAUUGUUCUCGAUGAUCUUAUCUCACGUCUGUCAAACCUGUCUGCGCAGAAGGAUUUGGGCCUUCUGAUUUCAAUUUUUUCUUUAAAUGUUUAUCUCAAUGUGAACAUUCUUCUUGAAAGAUAGAAAAUUAAUUUUUUUUUUUUGUACAGUUACAAUAAUUACCAUAUAUCUCCAGAGAUUGUGAAUCAUUCAUAAAAGGAUUUAUACUCUCUGGCAAAAGUUAUCCUUAGACAGUACAAAGCCAGAAUUGCAAGGAUAACGCUGGGAGACCAUGCAUUUUGGAUCAUGAAAUGAAGAAACUUUGGGCUUCUCUUGUUCUUGUUCCCAAGAAAGCUCUGAUUUUGUGCUAGAACUUCCAGGUGGGUAUCUGCACUGUCCUGUCCCCAGUGUCAUGGCCAAAUAUUUCUCUUCUUCAGAGACAGCUAUUGGACUUGGUCAUACCAGGCCACCCCUCAAGACCCUUUUUCUGUCUCUCUCUUUAAAAUUGUGUAAUAUAUAAAGUCUGAUUAGCCCCAGAAUGGAUCAACUCUCUAGAUUGCAUCAGGGAAUUUCAUAUUCAUUAAAUAGCUUAAGCACGUUUCUUACUCUGUGAGAUGAUUGAAUUUCAGUGUACAGUUUAUCCUUGCAGUGCUUGACUUAAUGUCUCAUGAAAAAACCAAGAGGUCACAAACUAAAAGGAGUGUUGGUUGGGAAAGUUCUCUGCCAGAGCAACUACUCAGCCAGCAGUGAUGAUCAAGGGGUUAUCUCCCCCCAGCUGCCCAAGAUUGUCUUUCCCCUUGGUGAAGUUUGUGUGGUUUCCUUCAGCCCAUUCCCAAGUUUCUCAAAAUCCCCUUGACCGAAACAACAGAUUUCAUCAGUUCUGUGUGAAUCUCCAGCGUGAUGAGAAUGAGCCUGAUACCUGUGCAAUAUCAUGUGGCCCCGUGUGUAUGUAUUCUAGUUGAGAGAGCAGAGCCAUAGCCACCCAUGUGUGUGCAAAAAAUACAUUGUUUAUUGCAAUGUAGGAUGCAAGGCUUGGUAAAAUAGCAGGGCAAACAUGUCAUCUUUGUGCUGCAAAUCUUCCAGCUAUUGCAUGUGGCUUGUUUGAAGCACAUCUUACCACUGGCUUGUGUUUUAUGAGCCACAGCCCAUGAGGUGUCUACAGUCAAAAAAACUGUGCCAGAAGUUAAUGCUUGGUACUGGAUGCCCACACAAAAUGGGAACCAUGGUUUUAGUUUAAAAAGAAAAAAAAAAAAAGAAAUGGAGACACCCACCUUUGACUUGCAGAAGUUACUGGAGAAGUACGUCUGCAAUUGCCUUUGGCUUUUGGGCCAUCCCUCCAUAAGACCAUGACACAAGGGGUUGCUUUUCCAUUCUUUGUGACUUACUAAGAUUUUGGAAGGUUCUGCAUGCGGAGAGCAAGUGGGACAUUUUAUCUUUUCACUUAGACACUGAUCAAGAUACCAUUGCGGUCCUGUGACCACUGCCUGCCUGAAUGUUACACAAAGAAGUUCAACUUUCCUACCUGCCUGGUCAGCCUGGGCUCAGUGUCUUGGUCUCUUACUCAGCAGGCAAGUGCUUUAGCUGCUGGUUCUGCUCUGCACAGCUCUGGAUUUGACCAGAGGUUUCAUCCAGGAGCUGAGGAAUCCAGACAACAAUAAACACUGUUGAAACAUUUAAUGCUAAAUAACAGAUGCAGUUUCAAUGAGUCAGCAUUUUCUGACAAAAGCAAAAUGCGAUCAGGAAAUCCCUGACUUGAUCUAAUCCUUACCAAAGUCUUGAUCAGUGUGUAAAUUCUCUUCACUGCAGAGUUGUAAAUCAUCAUUUCGUUACAGACAUUGAAAAAUUCUGCUCUCCCAAUGCAGAAACAGUGCUGCCAUCUCUUCCAAUUAAUUUUCAUCAGCCUUUUCAUAGUAAUUAUUGUUUUAAAUCUCCUUCACCUGAAUUCCUGUGAAUAUUGACUUGGUUUCUGUCUCAUUUUGUGUCAUCUACAUCGUCUGCCUCUUAGUGAUAUUUUAUUUUGACAUGUAAAUACUGUGAUGUCUUCCCUCUCUUCACUGUUGUUGCUUGCUGCUGGCUGUUUUGCUUGCAUAACUAAUUGCAUGGGUAUUUAUUAAAAGGGUUUUUUUCUUUCAAGGAGGUCCAGCCUUUGCUCUCUCCUCCUGGUGUUGCAGUGAAGUGCACUUCCACAAUUAACCAUUAAGUGGGGAUGUAAAUUAAGCUGCUGGACUAGCAGAUAAAUGAAUCUGUCACAUGUAUAAUUGCUAGGCAAAGUGGCUACAAUUUUAGCUAUUUUCAUUGGCCUAUUACUGCAGCUUUUUAUUGCUAAAAUAAUAAAUCAUUGUUUUUGUAGAAAGAGGUAUGUACCAAUGAGCUGGGGGGGAGAUCUGUUGCAUAAGCAAUAAAAUAAGAUGUUGGGGGAUUUUUAAGAGGUGAAUUUGUAUAGGGGAGCUUUUGAGAUAUCACAUGAAGGACAUAUAUUGCACAUUAGAAAAACAACAACAACAAACCAAAAAACUUGGAGGCAUUUUUUGACAAAGUUUCUGAGGCUAAGAUAUGAUGGGUAAGUGAUGGAACCUCCAUCUGUAGUAAAUUAUACCACUAUAAGGGGCCUCCAGUGGGUCACUCAAACAUACUAUCUGCUUCUAGAAAUACUGACCUUGGUGUCUCUCUUUACCCUCAGACUUACCAGUAGCAUUGACAAAGGAACCCUAUCCUGGGCUGAAAUGUCUACUUUUAAUUGGAGAAUAUCACAUACUGUAGGCUUUGAACAGGUCAUGCACAGUUGCAGAUCCAAUUCAGUAUAAGCAAGGUGUUUGGUCUUUCUGCAAUUUCUCAAUAUUGCAAUUUUCCCAGAAAUAUUAGCAAAUAAAGAUAAAGCAAUUUUAGCUAUACCUCUGUGGCAUCCUCUGUGCUGAUUUCAGGCUCUUCUUGAAAUGCUAAUAUAUCAUCCUCACUGCUGUAUUCUUGCAGCCUGUUCCCCGAAGGGGACUCGGAUUGCCUUCUUAGGAGCAGAUUAUUUCCUGAUCACAUUUCUCAUAUUAGGGAAUCCAUGUAUUGAGCAAGAGACCAAAGUGCAAUGAUCAUUUUACAAUUUAGCUUUAUCUAGUCAUCUGUUAGCAAGUCAUAUGAUAUUUCAAGUCAUUUUAACUCUGAUGAGGAAAAGAGCUCAUCAAGACAUUAAUCACUCAGUAGUUUGUAUACAAAGCAAAUUGGUGCCUCAAGGCAUUUAAAUAAAAUACUGUCUCUUUGCCUAAAAAAGAUAUCCUUGCUGUCAAGGGCAGAGGAGGAUGUUUACAGACACCUUCAUAUGUCUACUUUGCUGGACCAUUUAAUGCUAAUUUAGUGUUAGAUUACCUUUCUGAAACUGCUAAAAAAAUCUGUUAUAUUACUGUGCUUAGCUGAGGCCCCGGGACUUCAGAGAUGAGAUUUCUAUCCACUGACAAAUCAUGGCUGGGUGGAAAAUCAAAGCAGAUACUUUUCUACAUCAGGUGUGAAAUACACUUGCAUCCUAAUCCUGACAAAUGAUACAAUAAUGGAGAGAGUGUAAAAGAUUUGUUUAUUCCGCGGAAGAGAUUUCAUCUGGGAAUAGGGGCAAAGGAAAUAUAUAUCCUUAUAUAUCCUAUACGUAUGGAAUUGCUGGAAGGCCAAAGUGGCUGUGAAGUGCUGUUUUACACCCAGGGAAUGCAGAUUUUAAGGUCUGCAUGCAAUACAGAGUGGUAAAGGCUGAGACCCUAUUUUUCUUCCCAGACCUGCUGGUCUCAUGGACGGAAACAGUCCAGGGAGUUCAAGAACACCAAAUGCACCUCAGUGGAGAGGGGCUAGUUAAGGAUUUUCAGUUGACAUAAAUCCUUAUCAUUGUCUCAUAUCACAGUGUAAUUGUGGCUGUUAAACUUUUGGGGCAAGUACCGGAAGAGUUAGGGAGUAAAAUGGGCCCUGGGGAGCAUCUCUCCAUAUGGCAGCAUGACUGGAAGACUGAGAUUUUUCAAAGACUAACGUGACCCAUCAGAGUGUUUUGCUUACGUUACUGAUGAAGUUACCCUUUGCAUUUAUUGCCCAAAUAUCUUCCCUUUUAACAAAUGACAAACUGGUUUUUUACAACUAUUUGUAUUCUUAGAAGAUUCCCUUGGAAAACAUCUCAAAUUCCUUUGUGUAAGUGCCUUUGUGGGUCUUUACUGUUUUGGAUAUAUACUGCUGGCUGGUGCCCAAUAGGAAUGCAAUUUGGAAGGAAGCUUGAGUUUGAUUUUUCACAGCACUGUUUCUUGUGCAGCCCUCGAAAUCUGGGCACUGGAGUAGGAGAUAAAACAUCUCCCAUAUGGAAAUUCAAACACCAUACCAGCUUUUUCUCUCUGUAGUGCCACCUGAAACUGGAAACCAGCAAGAAAUAAAGCCUUCUCUUUCUGCUUUCAAACUAAUGCAUCCACUUCCUUCUACUUUAGAUGGCAGCAGAUGAGCUACUCAUCCAGGCUCUCUUUAUAAUCACUGCUAAGAAACAGGCACUUCUAGAGCAUGAUUCGUCUGAUGUGUUUCAGAUGCCUGCAUCAGCAGAAGGUGGGAUGCACUGCUUUUCUCUGCCACCUGUGAAGGGAGGCCCUCUAUGUCUACUUCAGAGUUGUUAAUCAAAGACUGUUAUCACUGGAAAAAUGGAGGUCAGUGACUUAAGAGCAUCUUGCAAAAAAGAUUUGGAGAGCAGGAGCCAAAACCGAGAGUUGUGAAUGUGCAGAAGUGGACACUGAUAACACCCAUCCCACGUGCACGGUGAAGGUUGUGCCAGUGACAACUACGAGAAGAGCUGUCUGCUUGGAUGGUUUCAGAGGCUAUCUACACCCAAAGAAAGAAAGGCAGCUAACUCUGAAUGCAUCACUUUGCAAGAAAUGAAUGUCUUCUCCAACAUGCUGACACUUCUCUUCUUCUGAAGGUACUUCAUAAGGCAGAAGUAUUUUUGUUUUGUCUCUCUGUGCUUUGAGAACAUGGAGAAUUGGCUAAAACCCAGACCCCGCACCAUCUCUGUGUCAUGGCCAUCUCCCAUUGGGUGGCCAGGCUGGUUCCUUUGGGAUGGACUGGCUGCAGUGACUGCAGGCACCAUGACCAGGGUCUCUCCCAGGAGCUCGGUGCUAUCCCUGUGUCUUCUCCUGGUGGGACCCUUUGAUUCCAAGGGGACAGUAAUGACAUCCUCCAGGCCUGGGAAUUUGAGCCUCAUCAAAAAAACCUGGUGGUUCUGGACCACCAGGUCAGGAAAUACAACUUGGCUACCUCUGUUCUUAGAAGGAGACUUCUUUUUCCCCUUAGUUUCCCUUCCCUACACUAGGCUCACUACCUCUUUAGAAAUUCCAGCUUAGAAUGUUGGGGAAUUAGCAAAAACUGGGCAACAAAAGGGAUUAAAACCAUUGUGAAUAAUGUAUCGAAUGGGUAUCAAUUUCCAAAAUUAAAAUGCUAUAAAAAAUUACUUGUUUUCUCAUUGACUUUCAUUUUCCUCUUCAUUACCCCACCACAAAAAGACAAGUACCCAGCACCUACCUCCAGUCCCAUGUCCAAAGGAACAGUGGUUUUGUGCAUUCAAAGUUAGCUACCCCCUACACAGCUGCUCAGUUAAUAAUCGACCCAUUUAACAGCAGGACCAGUUUAUGCUACAUAUGUCAGAGUACCUUACCUCGAGAGAACGGCAUACAUAUCUACACUGAACUUAUAAAAUACCAGUCACAGUUCGGUACCACGGUUAUCCCAAAAGGGUUUAGUCUUCGGAGUGCUAUGGACAAUACAGUGUUUUCCCUCUAAGAGGGCUCAAAGGUUGGGCUGGGGCCCAAACUGCUGGCAAACGACAGCCAAUGGCUCCAUGUACCUGUGGCCCUGGUCACACCUGAGCCACCAGCGAGAGCGUGCUGGGUGGGAUGUGCCUUUGCCCUGGUGGGGUCAUCCACAACACAGCUGGAACACAAUUUCAUGGCUUUUUUUAUUGAAGGGGGAGAAGAACUGGGACGUAAUUACUCACACUGCCUAAUGCCUUACAAAGCUCCCCUUAAAGCCCCUCUCAACCAAGGCCCACAAAGCUCACUCCUAAAAUUAAAUAAUAAAAAAAGGGAAAAAAAAAAA